GCUAAGUGGGUGUGAGGUGGCGCGGUAAUAAGGGGGUGGUAAGCGGUGGCCGGAUUUAUUGGGUUUAAAGGGUGGGUAGGCGGCCUUAGAAGUCAGUGCUGAAAGAUCCCGGCUUAACCGGGAGGGUGGCAUUGAUACUGCAAGGCUUGAGUGUAGUCGAGGUAGGCGGAAUUGACGGUGUAGCGGUGAAAUGCUUAGAUAUCGUCAAGAACACCGAUAGUGUAGACAGCUUACUAGGCUACAACUGACGCUGAGGCACGAAAGUGUGGGGAUCAAACAGGAUUAGAUACCCUGGUAGUC
This 300-nucleotide ribosomal RNA is filed under the name uncultured Helicobacter sp. RNAcentral's name for it is "bacterial SSU rRNA". It matches the Rfam family "Bacterial small subunit ribosomal RNA", at positions 496 to 795 of the family's 1533-position model. Lineage: Bacteria; Pseudomonadati; Campylobacterota; Epsilonproteobacteria; Campylobacterales; Helicobacteraceae. The record is from RNAcentral.